This 465-nucleotide ribosomal RNA is filed under the name uncultured bacterium. RNAcentral describes it as "partial 16S ribosomal RNA". It matches the Rfam family "Bacterial small subunit ribosomal RNA", at positions 28 to 507 of the family's 1533-position model. The record is from RNAcentral.
GACGAACGCUGGCGGCGUGCUUAACACAUGCAAGUCGAACGGAAAGGCCCCUUUGGGGGUCCUCGAGUGGCGAACGGGGGAGUAACACGGGAGUAACCUGCCCUUGACUUCGGGAUAACUUCAGGAAACUGGGGCUAAUACCGGAUAGGAAUCCUUGCUGCAUGGUGGGGGUUGGAAAGCUUCGGCGGGUUUGGAUGGACUCGCGGCUUAUCAGCUUGUUGGUGGGGUAGUGGCUUACCAAGGCUUUGACGGGUAGCCGGCCUGAGAGGGCGACCGGCCACAUUGGGACUGAGAUACGGCCCAGACUCCUACGGGAGGCAGCAGUGGGGAAUAUUGCACAAUGGGCGGAAGCCUGAUGCAGCAACGCCGCGUGCGGGAUGACGGCCUUCGGGUUGUAAACCGCUUUCAGCAGGGGCGAAGCUUGUGGUGACGGUACCUGCAGAAGAAGCACCGGCUAACUACGUG